Molecule: unclassified non-coding RNA, 313 nt
Filed under: Hevea brasiliensis (rubber tree)
Lineage: Eukaryota; Viridiplantae; Streptophyta; Magnoliopsida; Malpighiales; Euphorbiaceae
Source: RNAcentral
UUUUUUGAGAAUGUGAUUUCAAAAUAAGAAAAAUACUCAAUUAAUUCUUAACUAAUUAAUAAUUCUAACAUGCAACAAUAUAUAAUUUAAGAUACCAAAAUUAAGUCUCCAAAAUACACUAAUAUAUUAUUUCACUUGCUUAAAAUUAAGGGAAAUGUGGAGUAGAUAUAAAUGAAGACUGUCCUUUCCUUUUUAAUCCAUUUAAAACUCUACAAAAUAAUAAUAAUAAUAUUAAGAAAAUAAAUUUAUUUUCGGAAAUCACGACUGCUAACGUGGCAAUGGCGGUACUAAUCCAAUUGCUACACCACCUGAG